RNAcentral lists this ribosomal RNA (292 nucleotides) under uncultured bacterium. RNAcentral describes it as "partial 16S ribosomal RNA". It matches the Rfam family "Bacterial small subunit ribosomal RNA", at positions 505 to 796 of the family's 1533-position model. The record is from RNAcentral.
GUGUCAGCCGCCGCGGUAAUACGUAGGGUGCAAGCGUUAAUCGGAAUUACUGGGCGUAAAGCGUGCGCAGGCGGUCGUAAAAGACAGAUGUGAAAUCCCCGGGCUUAACCUGGGAACUGCAUUUGUGACUGUACGGCUGGAGUGCGGCAGAGGGGGAUGGAAUUCCGCGUGUAGCAGUGAAAUGCGUAGAUAUGCGGAGGAACACCGAUGGCGAAGGCAAUCCCCUGGGCCUGCACUGACGCUCAUGCACGAAAGCGUGGGGAGCAAACAGGAUUAGAAACCCGUGUAGUCC